CGACCGGCGCACGGGUGAGUAACGCGUAUACAAUUUACCCUUUACAGGAGAAUAGCCCAGAGAAAUUUGGAUUAAUGCUCCAUAGUAUUAUUGAUUGGCAUCGAUUAAUAAUUAAAACUUCGGUGGUAGAAGAUGAGUAUGCGUCCUAUUAGCUGGAUGGUAAGGUAACGGCUUACCAUGGCUACGAUAGGUAGGGGUCCUGAGAGGGAGAUCCCCCACACUGGUACUGAGACACGGACCAGACUCCUACGGGAGGCAGCAGUGAGGAAUAUUGGGCAAUGGAGGCAACUCUGACCCAGCCAUGCCGCGUGCAGGAAGACUGCCCUAUGGGUUGUAAACUGCUUUUAUAUAGGAAGAAACCCAUCCACGAGUGGAUGGCUGACGGUACUAAAGAAUAAGCACCGGCUAACUCCGUGCCAGCAGCCGCGGUAAUACGGAGGGUGCAAGCGUUAUCCGGAAUCAUUGGGUUUAAAGGGUCCGUAGGCGGGCAAUUAAGUCAGGGGUGAAAUCCCACAGCUCAACUGUGGAACUGCCUUUGAUACUGGUUGUCUUGAGUUAUAGUGAAGUAGAUAGAAUGUGUAGUGUAGCGGUGAAAUGCAUAGAUAUUACACAGAAUACCGAUUGCGAAGGCAGUCUACUAACUGUACACUGACGCUAAUGGACGAAAGCGUGGGGAGCGAACAGGAUUUAGAUACCCUGGGUAGUCCACGCCGUAAACGAUGGAUACUAGUUUGUUGGGGUUUAUACUCAGUGACUAAGCGAAAGUGAUAAGUAUCCCACCUGGGGAGUACGUUCGCAAGAAUGAAACUCAAAGGAAUUGACC
Molecule: ribosomal RNA, 823 nt
Filed under: uncultured bacterium
Lineage: Bacteria
Description: bacterial SSU rRNA
Rfam family: Bacterial small subunit ribosomal RNA
Source: RNAcentral